AAUGGUUAAGUAGUUCUUAUUUUUAUUUUCGAAAUAAAAGAAUUUAUAUAUUU
Molecule: transfer RNA, 53 nt
Filed under: Meloidogyne graminicola
Lineage: Eukaryota; Metazoa; Nematoda; Chromadorea; Rhabditida; Meloidogynidae
Also listed under: 1 other name
Description: transfer RNA-Arg (UCG)
Source: RNAcentral